CAUAAAAAAGCAAGCAUGCGUCUGCUGGGACUCUCUGUCCAAUGUGCCAAAUAACACUUCUCAAAUGUUUCACCUCCCUCCUCUCAGAAACUCUCUCAAAGUCUCACUUCUCAAAAUUUUUUCCCCUGCUCUUCGUUUGCCUGCCAGAACAGAAUAGAAAAAACGCAGGUGACACCUUUGUCUCACCCAUUCCUCCUCACUUCUUUGUUAAUGGCGGAUUCCUCUCAAGGUCUCUCUUCAAAUAACAGUAAAGGGGAAACAAGGAUGAAGGGGGAAGAUGUUUGAUUCAUCUCAGUCAUCUGAAUCAUUUUUUCCCCAAAUGUAAUCAUGUCUCUCCAAACGCAGGAGCAAGAACCUUCGUCCCUCUUCUAAGAUGUGGAAAAUCUGAUAUAGGUGAAAAUAUGUGCAAGAGGUUUUACUGAAAAAUGUUGUUCACAUUUUGGUUGUUGAUUAUUAUUGAAAUUGACUACUGUCACAUUGGCUAAGGUCCUAAGGAGAACUUGAGCCGUGGUGAAGAGGAGGCUGAUGCUGAUGUUGCUAUUCAAGAAGAGGCAAGGCAGCGAGAUAAUUGGAAAAAUGAUAACCUACAUCGUGUUGGCAGUCAGAAGCUCAAUUGUUAUAGAGAUUAUUUUCAUGUGGAUGGGGUAUCUUCUGCGAGGCGCGUUCUUUUUUGUUCGUCCUUCUAAAUGUAUUGCCUCCAUUGUUUUCUUUUUUUAUGGAUUUUUUGUGCUAUUUUUCCCGGUUGUUUCUUCAUCGAUUUUAAGCCGUAAUGGUUUCCGUCGUUCCCUCUUUUUUUUUUCCUUUUCGUUUUGCUGUGGAUGGAAUUUUUGCGGUUUGGUGGUAUAGAGGUAUCUUCUGUGAGGCGCUUUCUUUUUUUGUUCGUUCUUCUAAAGGUAUUGCCUCCAUUGUUUUCUUUUUUUUAUGGAUUUUUUGUGCUAUUUUUUCCGGUUGUUUCUUUAUCGAUUUUAAGCUGGAAUGGUUGUGGUUUGGCAGUACUCCCGCCAUUUGCUCUUUUUUAACCUUUGCUGCGGCUAGAAUUCUUGCGGGUUGGUAGCAUAGAAGUAUCUUCCACCGGUUGUUUUUGUUCGGCUUUUUUAAGCUGGAAUGAUUUUUAAUUUCUGGACUCUUAUGCUCCAUCUAAGAUAGAGUUGGUAGCGCAGAAUCAUCUUUCCCCGCUUGCUCUGUUUUUGUAGGUGAGAAUCGCGGCCAUUAGAAUCGCAUUCUUGAACUCCGACAACUGGUUGCUGAACCCACUGUGAGGUGCGUACCAGAGGAACUUUUCUCCCCUGAAUUUGGUUCCAUUGUCUUUUUUAAGGUACCACCUUCUUUGUUCUGAUGUUUUUUCCAUUUUUUUUAUUUCCCUUGUUCGAGCUUUUGUGGAUUAGCCUAUAUUUUCAAAGCGAAAAGUGAAGAUUGAAUCCAUAUUGCGAGCUGCUGAGUUGCGGCACAUUAAAUUGAACACGGUUGCAUAUAAUUCUGCAAAUUGGAAGUUACAUGAAUUUUGGGGACUUUGAUAGAGCAAUAAUGGUAUAUGGGUCGAUGAGGAAACAUAAUGUUAAACCUGAUUUUGUCACUUACAAUGUGUUGAUAAGUGGUUGCUGUAAGAUGUCAAAGUUCUCUAAUGCACUUGAAUUUCUCAAUGAAAUGUUGGCCCUCAAAGUUCCAUUAUCACAAGAGGUGUAUUCAUCUGCUAUAUGUGCCUAGAGUAAACAGGCAAGGACUAUCGAUUUGUGACUACUGUCCCUGUAAUUAGAUUCUUCCAUACUUAAAUCUCUCUCUCUCUCUCUCUCAGGGUCAACUUACUGGAGCAGAAUCAAUGUUUUCCAUGAUGAAGAUGGCCGGUUUUCAUCCUGAUGUUGUCACAUAUACUGCUAUGCUACAUGCAUUUAGUGUUGCUGAUGACUGGGAGAAAGCUUUUGCAAUAUUUCAAGAAAUGGAAUUGCAUGGUGUCCAGCAAUUCAAGGGGUGGUUUUGUAAAUGAAGCAAAGCUCCUCCCGGAACUGAGCCCAAUAAAAUUCUUUCCUUUGUUGGAAUGCAUAUGGAUGUUGUUACUACCAACCCUUCUGACUGGAAUUUUGAUCCUUUUUUGCUGAGCAUUGAUGAGGAUAAACUACGGGGACGUGGAACUACUGAUUGCCUUGGGCAUGUCGCUCUUGUAGCUGAACUUAUGAAGAAACUGGGAGAGACAAAGCCACAGCUGAAGCAUCAGAAGCCACGGGUGAUGAAUCUAAAAAGAUAUAGCAUCAACUUACAAAGCUUCAACCUGCAAGUUAUUAGGUUUUCUGAAUAUGUAGAGAAUACCUCGCUAUAUAGUUUGUGAUUUUACUAUCCAGUGCAGCAGCCAGGUACAUUAUCAUCAUCGUUGCCAAAUUCAUGUAAUGCAAUGGAUUUGAAGUCUUUGCAUUGCCUUGAAGUUUAAUGGACUUUUGGAUUAUCAACCUUAAUCUAUAUAGCUCAGUGAUAUUUUUCCCUCUA
Non-coding RNA from Coffea arabica (coffee), 2475 nucleotides. NCBI's taxonomy places the organism in Eukaryota, Viridiplantae, Streptophyta, Magnoliopsida, Gentianales, Rubiaceae. The record is from RefSeq and is a predicted model, not a curated record.